AAUAUUUUGCAAGGGGGGAAACCCGGACGUAGCGCCGCCGCGUGAACGAUGCUGGCCUGCGGGUCGUAAAGUCCUGUCCUCAGGGAAGAAAGGGGUCACUUAUGACGCCUUGACGGUACCCGCGGUGUAAGCACCGGCUAACUACCUGCCAGCAGCCGCGGUAAUACGUAGGGGGCAAGCGUUGUCCAGAAUUAUUGGGCGUAAAGGGUGCGUAGGCGGCCUUUCAAGUCAGAUGUUAAAGACCACAGCUUAACUGUGGGAUUGCAUUUGAAACUACAAGGCUUGAGUCGCGGAGAAGGUAGAGGAAUUCCCGGAGUAGCAGCGAAAUGCGUAGAUAUCGGGAGGAACACCAGUGGCGAAGGCGACUACCUGGACGACAACUGACGCUGAGGCACGAAAGCUAGGGGAGCAAAC
This 414-nucleotide ribosomal RNA is filed under the name uncultured bacterium. RNAcentral describes it as "partial 16S ribosomal RNA". It matches the Rfam family "Bacterial small subunit ribosomal RNA", at positions 360 to 773 of the family's 1533-position model. The record is from RNAcentral.